GUGGGUUUGACAUAGUAGGUUGUAGGGAACUGAAAAGGGACCGACCCGUUCGGGAGCCUAUACAGGUGUUGCAUGGCUGUCGUCAGCUCGUGUCGUGAGAUGUUCGGUUAAGUCCGCUAACGAGCGCAACCCUCGUCGUAUGUUAUAUGUGUCAUACGAGACUGCCGGUAAAAGCCGGAGGAAGGUGAGGAUGAUGUCAAGUCAGCAUGACCUUUAUAUCCAGGGCUACACACACGCUACAAUGGUCUGUACAAUGGGUAGCCAAGCCGCGAGGCGGAGCCAAUCCUGAAAGCAGGCCUCAGUUCAGAUUGCAGUCUGCAACUCGACUGCAUGAAGCCGGAGUUGCUAGUAACCGCAGGUCAGCAAUACUGCGGUGAAUACGUUCCCGGGCCUU
RNAcentral lists this ribosomal RNA (394 nucleotides) under uncultured Anaerolineaceae bacterium. RNAcentral's name for it is "bacterial SSU rRNA". It matches the Rfam family "Bacterial small subunit ribosomal RNA", at positions 975 to 1382 of the family's 1533-position model. The record is from RNAcentral. Lineage: Bacteria; Bacillati; Chloroflexota; Anaerolineae; Anaerolineales; Anaerolineaceae.